GACGAACGCUGGCGGCGUGCCCAAUACAUGCAAGUAGAACGCUGAAGGAGGAGCUUGCUCUUCUGGAUGAGUUGCGAACGGGUGAGUAACGCGUAGGUAACCUGCCUGGUAGCGGGGGAUAACUAUUGGAAACGAUAGCUAAUACCGCAUAACAGUAGAUGUUGCAUGACAUUUACUUAAAAGGUGCAAUUGCAUCACUACCAGAUGGACCUGCGUUGUAUUAGCUAGUUGGUGGGGUAACGGCUCACCAAGGCGACGAUACAUAGCCGACCUGAGAGGGUGAUCGGCCACACUGGGACUGAGACACGGCCCAGACUCCUACGGGAGGCAGCAGUAGGGAAUCUUCGGCAAUGGACGGAAGUCUGACCGAGCAACGCCGCGUGAGUGAAGAAGGUUUUCGGAUCGUAAAGCUCUGUUGUAAGAGAAGAACGAGUGUGAGAGUGGAAAGUUCACACUGUGACGGUAGCUUACCAGAAAGAGACGGCUAACUACGUG
Molecule: ribosomal RNA, 495 nt
Filed under: uncultured bacterium
Lineage: Bacteria
Description: partial 16S ribosomal RNA
Rfam family: Bacterial small subunit ribosomal RNA
Source: RNAcentral